ACGAACGCUGGCGGCGUGCCUCAUACCUGCAAGUCGAGCGGACUUUCAAGAAGCUUGCUUUUUGAAAGUUAGCGGCGGACGGGUGAGUAACACGUGGGCAACCUGCCUGCAAGACGGGGAUAACUCCGGGAAACCGGGGCUAAUACCGGAUAAUAUCUUCCUUCGCAUGAAGGAAGGUUGAAAGGCGGCGCAAGCUGCCGCUUGCAGAUGGGCCCGCGGCGCAUUAGCUAGUUGGUGAGGUAACGGCUCACCAAGGCGACGAUGCGUAGCCGACCUGAGAGGGUGAUCGGCCACACUGGGACUGAGACACGGCCCAGACUCCUACGGGAGGCAGCAGUAGGGAAUCUUCCGCAAUGGACGAAAGUCUGACGGAGCAACGCCGCGUGAGCGAAGAAGGUCUUCGGAUCGUAAAGCUCUGUUGUCAGGGAAGAACAAGUACCGUUCGAACAGGGCGGUACCUUGACGGUACCUGACCAGAAAGCCACGGCUAACUACGUG
Molecule: ribosomal RNA, 498 nt
Filed under: uncultured bacterium
Lineage: Bacteria
Description: partial 16S ribosomal RNA
Rfam family: Bacterial small subunit ribosomal RNA
Source: RNAcentral